CCAAUAGCGUAUAUUAAAGUUGUUGCAGUUAAAAAGCUCGUAGUUGAAUUUCGGGAUUGACGUGACGGUCAUGCCUUAAGGGGUAUGAACUGUUACUGUUGAUUUCUCACCUUCUGGAGAAACUUGAUGUCCUUUAUUGGGUGUCUUGCGGAUCCAGGACCUUUACCUUGAAAAAAUUAGAGUGUUUAAAGCAGGCAUUUUUGCUCGAAUACAUUAGCAUGGAAUAAUAGAAUGGGACGGCAUGGUUCUAUUUUGUUGGUUUCUAGGAUCACCGUAAUGAUUAAUAGGGAUAGUUGGGGGCAUUAGUAUUCAAUUGUCAGAGGUGAAAUUCUUGGAUUUAUUGAAGACUAACUACUGCGAAAGCAUUUGCCAAGGAUGUUUUCAUUAAUCAAGAACGAAAGUUAGGGGAUCGAAGACGAUCAGAUACCGUCGUAGUCUUAACCAUAAACUAUGCCGACUAGGAAUCAGACGAUGUUAAUUUUUUAAUGACUCGUUUGGCACCUUACG
RNAcentral lists this unclassified non-coding RNA (507 nucleotides) under uncultured Entrophospora. Its description in RNAcentral is "SSU rRNA". It matches the Rfam family "Eukaryotic small subunit ribosomal RNA", at positions 591 to 1092 of the family's 1831-position model. Lineage: Eukaryota; Fungi; Glomeromycota; Glomeromycetes; Entrophosporales; Entrophosporaceae. The record is from RNAcentral.